RNAcentral lists this ribosomal RNA (468 nucleotides) under uncultured bacterium. RNAcentral describes it as "partial 16S ribosomal RNA". It matches the Rfam family "Bacterial small subunit ribosomal RNA", at positions 28 to 507 of the family's 1533-position model. The record is from RNAcentral.
GACGAACGCUGGCGGCGUGCUUAACACAUGCAAGUCGAACGGAAAGGCCUGCAGCUUGCUGCGGGUACUCGAGUGGCGAACGGGUGAGUAACACGUGGGUGAUCUGCCUUGCACUUCGGGAUAAGCUUGGGAAACUGGGUCUAAUACCGGAUAGGACAGCUGUUUAGUGUCAGUUGUGGAAAGUUUUUUCGGUGCAAGAUGAGCUCGCGGCCUAUCAGCUUGUUGGUGGGGUAAUGGCCUGCCAAGGCGUCGACGGGUAGCCGGCCUGAGAGGGUGUACGGCCACAUUGGGACUGAGGUACGGCCCAGACUCCUACGGGAGGCAGCAGUGGGGAAUAUUGCACAAUGGGCGGAAGCCUGAUGCAGCGACGCCGCGUGGGGGAUGAAGGCCUUCGGGUUGUAAACUCCUUUCGACAGGGACGAAGCUUUUGUGACGGUACCUGUAUAAGAGGCACCGGCUAACUACGUG